Molecule: ribosomal RNA, 601 nt
Filed under: uncultured bacterium
Lineage: Bacteria
Description: bacterial SSU rRNA
Rfam family: Bacterial small subunit ribosomal RNA
Source: RNAcentral
AGUCUUACUGACGUUCAUGCUCGAAGGUGCGGGUAUCGAACAGGAUUAGAUACCCUGGUAGUCCGCACGGUAAACGAUGGAUGCCCGCUGUUGGCGACACACAGUCAGCGGCCAAGCGAAAGCAUUAAGCAUCCCACCUGGGGAGUACGCCGGCAACGGUGAAACUCAAAGGAAUUGACGGGGGCCCGCACAAGCGGAGGAACAUGUGGUUUAAUUCGAUGAUACGCGAGGAACCUUACCCGGGCUUGAACUGCAGCGGAAGGAUACAGAGAUGUUGACGCCCUUCGGGGCCGCUGUGGAGGUGCUGCAUGGUUGUCGUCAGCUCGUGCCGUGAGGUGUCGGCUUAAGUGCCAUAACGAGCGCAACCCCUUUCUUCAGUUGCCAUCGGGUGAUGCCGGGCACUCUGGAGACACUGCCACCGCAAGGUGUGAGGAAGGUGGGGACGACGUCAAAUCAGCACGGCCCUUACGUCCGGGGCUACACACGUGUUACAAUGGGUGGUACAGAGAGAUAGUGCUGCGCAAGCCGCAUUGAAUCAUGAAAUCCAUCCUCAGUUCGGAUUGGGGUCUGCAACCCGACCCCAUGAAGCUGGAUUCGCUAG